This 372-nucleotide ribosomal RNA is filed under the name uncultured organism. RNAcentral's name for it is "bacterial SSU rRNA". It matches the Rfam family "Bacterial small subunit ribosomal RNA", at positions 526 to 896 of the family's 1533-position model. The record is from RNAcentral.
CAGGAGUCUCAAGCGUUGUUCGGAUUCAUUGGGCGUAAAGGGUGCGUAGGUGGCGCUGUAAGUCGGGUGUGAAAUUUCGGAGCUUAACUCCGAAACUGCAUUCGAUACUGCGGUGCUUGAGGACUGGAGAGGAGACUGGAAUUCAUGGUGUAGCAGUGAAAUGCGUAGAGAUCAUGAGGAAGACCAGUGGCGAAGGCGGGUCUCUGGACAGUUCCUGACACUGAGGCACGAAGGCCAGGGGAGCAAACGGGAUUAGAUACCCCGGUAGUCCUGGCAGUAAACGGUGCACGUUUGGUGUGGGAGGAUUCGACCCCUUCCGCGCCGGAGCUAACGCGUUAAACGUGCCGCCUGGGGAGUACGGUCGCAAGAUUA